RNAcentral lists this transfer RNA (70 nucleotides) under Pseudomonas izuensis. RNAcentral's name for it is "tRNA-Ser". Lineage: Bacteria; Pseudomonadati; Pseudomonadota; Gammaproteobacteria; Pseudomonadales; Pseudomonadaceae. The record is from RNAcentral.
CUGGUUGGAAGGGUAGCGCACUAGCAUGGGGUGCUAGGGGUCGAGUGUUCGAAUCACUCCGUCCCGACCA